This is a long non-coding RNA of Dermochelys coriacea (leatherback sea turtle), 2177 nucleotides long. RefSeq lists it as uncharacterized. Lineage: Eukaryota; Metazoa; Chordata; Testudines; Dermochelyidae. The transcript has 3 exons. The record is from RefSeq and is a predicted model, not a curated record.
GGGUGAACUAGACCACCUGAGCCGCAUCUUGGCUACUGGGCAGCUGGUUUUUGUCCAGUUAAUAACAGCCGAUCCUUUUCCUCCUCCCAGCCUAUUAGAAGAAGAGGCUGCGAUCUCUGUUGACUGGAGCAGCUGGGAGCUCACCAAUGGCCAGGAGCUACUAUUCCCGUGCAGCGGGCCUGAUUCUCCACAGUACGUCCCCUUGCUGGGCCAACGUACCUGAGUGCAAAGCGCGCGUGGAACGCUCUUGGGUUCGAUGCCAGCCUUACAGCCCCAGGUCCAGGUCUGGACUAGCUGUGCUCUCCUGCUCCCUGUGCUCCUGGAGGUUCAUUCCUUACCUUGUCUCCUGGGAGAUGAGGCUGCUCUAAGGCAUCCAUGAGCCUCCUCUGUACUCCUGCUCCAUUCCCUACGGGCUGUCACUGAGACGUGUCAUUGUCACCAUUACGGAGUGCCAGGGAGCCUCCAGUCCUGAGACUCCACUGCAGCUCCUCCACGGCCAGUCAAUCUGAAGCCCGGGAUAACACUGAAAGGUGCAGCACUGCUGCUAGUGGUUUUGCAGAGAUGGCUCCUGCCUGGGUGAGGAACAGCUGACUUCCUCCUGUCUCUAGUUGGCUCCCGGCAACUGUUGGGGCUGACAACAGGAAGCUGAGUCAGCAGAUCAGCUGCAAUUGGUGCUUGGUUUUUAUUUUAUUCUCCCAGCAGCCAAAAGAAGCUGUGGUUUUCUUGACACUUUGUUCUGGGGGUGCAGUGGUGUCUAUGGUGAAGGCCUGAUGGGGACAGGAGGAGAAGCGAAUACUUUAAAUCAGAGAUGUCCAUCGGUGCUUUCCCUUGUUCCACACUCGUGCGAAAAGGUGAGAUUGUGCUGAGGGAGUGGCACCUUCGGGGACUAGCUCCCCUCACUGGCUAGGCCCCAGUUCCCUCGCACGGUAUCUGGAGGAGUUGGGCUAGGACAUGGCACCUACAGUGACUGAAGGAGCAUCUUUAGACUCAGACUGUAAGGUCAGAAGGGACCAUUGUGAUCAUCUAGUCCAGUGGCUCUCAACCUUCCCAGGCUGUUGUGCCCCCUUCAGGAGUCAGAUCUAUCUUGCGUACCCCCAAGUUGCACCUCACUCAAAAACUACCUGCGUACAAAAUCAGACCUAAAAAUACAAAGGUGUCACAGCACACUAUUACUGAAAGAUUGCUGCUUUCUCGCUUUUACCUUAUAAUUAUAGAAUACAUCAGUUGGGAUAUAAAUCUUGUGCUUACAUUCAGUGUGUAGCAUAGAGAAGUACACAAGAGGUAAUUGUCUGUAUGAAAUGUUAGUUUGUAUGACUUCCCUAGUGCUUUUGUGUCACCUGUUGUACAAGUAGGCAAAUAGCUAGGUGAGCUGAUGUCCCCCUGGCAGAGCUCUGCAUACCCCCAGGGGUACAUGUGCCCCUCAUUGAGAACCACUGCCUGAGUCUGACCUCCUGCAUGUUCACGCACUUACCUAAAGGAGCCACUAAGGCUAACACCGACAGACAGCACCUCUCUUGUCUCCUGGUGUUGAGCUGCCUCAGAGGGAGCCGAGACCUUGCCAGACUUGGCUGCUGUACUAGACUCCCUCUCUGUGCUCUCCUGGACACCUUGGGUAUGUCUACAAGCAAUGCCUGGAAGGGGUUGAUGUAGGUUCAGAAGGGGGCCAAUUAACCAAACAGGCCGACUGUGAGGCAGGUGAGUGAACACUCCCCGUCUGAGGGAGGGAGCCUGGCUGGUUUAGGAACAGCUGGGCUGGAUUUAUAAAGACGGGAAGCUGCUAGCAGAAGGGGCUGCUGGGAAAGUCUGCAGUCACUUCCAGGGAAGUGUAUCUAGGCUGGCAAAUCAAGAGCAGGGGGGAAGGUAGGGAAGGGCUUAGGGAAAGACAGUGAGGUGUGGAAGGGAACAGACCUUGGAUGCUGGCCAGAGGGUCCCUGAGCAGAACCUGGAGUAGAGGGGGACCUGGGCUCCCCUGCCAGCCACUGAGGAGUAGCACCACGAAGCACUGACUGGUCCUUGCUACGCAGGCUGUGGAGCAGCACAUAAUGGCUCUGAGCUUGGGUGUCAGGAAGGAAUUGCACUAGUGGAAACAGUGCUUUCAGAGAGACUGAAGGUGUCUCAUAGGAGUGCGCCGCCUGAUUGAUACAGGCCCUGCGGCUCUGUCAAUGAUGAGGAUUCCC